Molecule: ribosomal RNA, 615 nt
Filed under: Ralstonia sp. enrichment culture
Lineage: Bacteria; Pseudomonadati; Pseudomonadota; Betaproteobacteria; Burkholderiales; Burkholderiaceae
Description: bacterial SSU rRNA
Rfam family: Bacterial small subunit ribosomal RNA
Source: RNAcentral
AGAGUUUGAUCCUGGCUCAGAUUGAACGCUGGCGGCAUGCCUUACACAUGCAAGUCGAACGGCAGCGCGGACUUCGGUCUGGCGGCGAGUGGCGAACGGGUGAGUAAUACAUCGGAACGUACCCUGUUGUGGGGGAUAACUAGUCGAAAGAUUAGCUAAUACCGCAUACGACCUGAGGGUGAAAGCGGGGGACCGCAAGGCCUCGCGCAGCAGGAGCGGCCGAUGUCUGAUUAGCUAGUUGGUGGGGUAAAGGCCCACCAAGGCGACGAUCAGUAGCUGGUCUGAGAGGACGAUCAGCCACACUGGGACUGAGACACGGCCCAGACUCCUACGGGAGGCAGCAGUGGGGAAUUUUGGACAAUGGGGGCAACCCUGAUCCAGCAAUGCCGCGUGUGUGAAGAAGGCCUUCGGGUUGUAAAGCACUUUUGUCCGGAAAGAAAACGCUCUGGUUAAUACCUGGAGUGGAUGACGGUACCGGAAGAAUAAGCACCGGCUAACUACGUGCCAGCAGCCGCGGUAAUACGUAGGGUGCGAGCGUUAAUCGGAAUUACUGGGCGUAAAGCGUGCGCAGGCGGUUUUGUAAGACAGGCGUGAAAUCCCCGAGCUCAACUUGGG